This 274-nucleotide ribosomal RNA is filed under the name Escherichia coli. RNAcentral's name for it is "partial 23S ribosomal RNA". It matches the Rfam family "Bacterial large subunit ribosomal RNA", at positions 1 to 275 of the family's 2925-position model. Lineage: Bacteria; Pseudomonadati; Pseudomonadota; Gammaproteobacteria; Enterobacterales; Enterobacteriaceae. The record is from RNAcentral.
GGUUAAGCGACUAAGCGUACACGGUGGAUGCCCUGGCAGUCAGAGGCGAUGAAGGACGUGCUAAUCUGCGAUAAGCGUCGGUGAGGUGAUAUGAACCGUUAUAACCGGCGAUUUCCGAAUGGGGAAACCCAGUGUGUUUCGACACACUAUCAUUAACUGAAUCCAUAGGUUAAUGAGGCGAACCGGGGGAACUGAAACAUCUAAGUACCCCGAGGAAAAGAAAUCAACCGAGAUUCCCCCAGUAGCGGCGAGCGAACGGGGAGGAGCCCAGAGC